ACCUGCAAAAAUAGUGAAUUACAAACAUAUUUCUAUAAAGUUCAACUUUCAUAUAUUGUUCCUAUAAAAAUUUUAAUAUUUUUAAAUAUGUCCCUCUGGUUUGUUAUCGUGAAGACACUGUCUGUUUUAUAAGUGAAAUGAUCUUUUUGCCAUCACAAAUAUGUGUCUUCAAAAGUCCCAACGGUUAUUUGAAGAGAGGUAAAAAGAUCAAUACACCUCAUUAAUUAAUCAGGUUUAAGUAUUUAACCUAUAGUUAACUAAAUUUUUCUAACGGAUUCUAACAGUAUAGACAUAUUUGACAACAUCAUAACUUUUGUAAGGACAAUAUAUGAAAGUUGAACUCUGUUGGAAAACAUUUGCAAGUCGCUAUAUUUUUAGGGACCUGUAUACAGUUAACCCUAAUUACUAUAUCAAU
Molecule: long non-coding RNA, 415 nt
Filed under: Ananas comosus (pineapple)
Lineage: Eukaryota; Viridiplantae; Streptophyta; Magnoliopsida; Poales; Bromeliaceae
Description: long non-coding RNA (ACOM_LNC016753)
Source: RNAcentral